AUGUGGAGCUCAUUGUUGCCCUUGGAUGAAUAUAUCAGUUCGCAUCGUCUAUGUGCAUCCACAUCACGUAUUUGCCGGUCCGGUUGUUAUAGACCACCUUGGGUCUCUCCAAGACAUUGGAUUUGUGGAGGUCAUGUGACAAAUUAUUUUCCUCGCCAUGGAGCACAACUCCUUCGUUUCUCCAAGACAACAGGUCAUUUGAAGAAUAGCAACUUACUCCAACAAUGUCAACCUCAAAAGUGGUUUGUCUUGGUUAGAAUGACAAAUUGGAAAAUCCUACAGAAAAUAAGUGUUGUAUAUAAGAUGAAAAUUGCAAAUUACUACUUGGUAAGUUCAACUAUUGAAUAUCAAUAA
RNAcentral lists this ribosomal RNA (354 nucleotides) under Triticum aestivum (bread wheat). RNAcentral's name for it is "partial small subunit ribosomal RNA". The record is from RNAcentral. Lineage: Eukaryota; Viridiplantae; Streptophyta; Magnoliopsida; Poales; Poaceae.